This 70-nucleotide transfer RNA is filed under the name Dipodomys ordii (Ord's kangaroo rat). It matches the Rfam family "tRNA". From Rfam's summary of the family: Transfer RNA (tRNA) molecules are approximately 80 nucleotides in length. Lineage: Eukaryota; Metazoa; Chordata; Mammalia; Rodentia; Heteromyidae. The record is from Rfam by way of RNAcentral.
GGGAAUGUGGCUUAGUGGUAGAGUGCUUGCCUGGCAUGCAUGGAGCCCUGGGUUCGAUUCCUCAGUACUG